Molecule: unclassified non-coding RNA, 271 nt
Filed under: uncultured fungus
Lineage: Eukaryota; Fungi
Description: partial contains 5.8S ribosomal RNA, internal transcribed spacer 2, and large subunit ribosomal RNA
Rfam family: 5.8S ribosomal RNA (bases 1-52)
Source: RNAcentral
AACGCACAUUGCGCCCGCCGGUAUUCCGGCGGGCAUGCCUGUUCGAGCGUCAUUUCAACCCUCAAGCCCCGGCUUGGUGUUGGGGCGCCCGGGUCCCCCGCGGCCCGGGGCCCCCAAGUUCAUCGGCGGGCUCGUCGGUACACUGAGCGCAGUAAAAACGCGGUAAAACGCGAACCCUCGCUCGGCCCGUCACCGGCGCGCACCAGCCGCUAAACCCCCAAAACUUUCAAAGGUUGACCUCGGAUCAGGUAGGAAUACCCGCUGAACUUAA